GGCCCUGCCCCCCGCCGAAGGGGAAAAUGCCCGGCGCCCCCGAGGCCGUGUCGGGGGACGGCUCGGGCACGAGCCGCCAGAGGAAGCUGGAGGCGCUGAUCCGAGACCCUCGCUCACCCAUCAACGUGGAGAGCUUGCUGGAUGGAUUAAAUUCCUUGGUCCUUGAUUUGGAUUUUCCUGCUUUGAGGAAAAACAAGAAUAUAGAUAAUUUCUUAAAUAGAUAUGAGAAAAUUGUGAAAAAGAUCAGAGGUCUACAGAUGAAGGCAGAAGACUACGAUGUUGUAAAAGUUAUUGGAAGAGGUGCUUUUGGUGAAGUCCAGUUGGUUCGUCAUAAGGCAUCACAGAAGGUUUAUGCUAUGAAGCUUCUUAGUAAGUUUGAAAUGAUAAAAAGAUCAGAUUCUGCUUUUUUCUGGGAAGAAAGAGAUAUUAUGGCCUUUGCCAACAGUCCCUGGGUGGUUCAGCUCUUUUGUGCCUUUCAAGAUGAUAAAUAUCUGUACAUGGUAAUGGAGUACAUGCCUGGUGGAGACCUUGUAAACCUUAUGAGUAACUAUGAUGUACCUGAAAAGUGGGCCAAAUUUUAUACUGCUGAAGUGGUUCUUGCUUUGGAUGCCAUACACUCCAUGGGUUUAAUUCACAGAGAUGUGAAGCCUGACAAUAUGCUCUUGGAUAAACACGGACAUCUAAAAUUAGCAGAUUUUGGCACAUGUAUGAAGAUGGAUGAAACAGGCAUGGUGCAUUGUGAUACAGCAGUUGGAACACCUGAUUAUAUAUCACCUGAAGUUCUGAAAUCACAAGGGGGUGAUGGUUACUAUGGAAGAGAAUGUGAUUGGUGGUCUGUGGGUGUUUUCCUUUUUGAGAUGCUGGUGGGAGACACUCCAUUUUAUGCAGAUUCACUUGUAGGGACAUACAGCAAAAUCAUGGAUCAUAAAAACUCACUAUGUUUCCCUGAAGAUGCAGAAAUUUCUAAACAUGCGAAGAAUCUCAUCUGUGCCUUCUUAACAGAUAGGGAGGUACGACUUGGGAGAAAUGGGGUAGAAGAAAUCAAACAACAUCCUUUCUUUAAGAAUGAUCAGUGGAAUUGGGAUAACAUAAGAGAGACGGCAGCUCCUGUGGUACCUGAACUCAACAGUGACAUAGACAGCAGCAAUUUUGAUGAUAUUGAAGAUGACAAAGGAGAUGUGGAAACCUUUCCAAUUCCUAAAGCUUUUGUGGGGAAUCAGCUGCCUUUUAUAGGAUUUACCUAUUAUAGAGAAAAUUUGUUAUUAAGUGACUCUCCUCCCUCUUGUAGAGAAAAUGAUUCAAUACAGUCAAGGAAGAAUGAAGAAAGUCAAGAGAUUCAGAAAAAACUGUACACAUUAGAAGAACACCUUAGCACUGAGAUACAAGCCAAAGAGGAACUAGAGCAGAAGUGCAAAUCUGUUAAUACUCGUCUAGAGAAAGUAGCAAAGGAGCUAGAAGAAGAGAUUAACUUACGGAAAAAUGUGGAAUCAGCAUUAAGACAAUUAGAAAGAGAGAAGGCGCUUCUUCAGCACAAAAAUGCAGAAUAUCAGCGGAAAGCUGAUCAUGAAGCAGACAAGAAACGAAAUUUGGAAAAUGAUGUUAACAGUUUAAAAGAUCAACUUGAAGAUUUGAAAAAAAGAAAUCAGAACUCUCAGAUAUCUACUGAGAAAGUGAAUCAACUCCAGAGACAACUGGAUGAAACCAAUGCUUUGCUGCGAACAGAAUCGGAUACUGCAGCCCGGUUAAGAAAAACCCAGGCAGAAUGUUCAAAACAGAUUCAGCAGCUGGAAUCUAACAAUAGAGAUCUACAAGAUAAAAACUGCCUGCUGGAGACUGCCAAGUUAAAACUUGAAAAGGAAUUUAUUAAUCUCCAGUCAGUUCUCGAAUCUGAAAGGAGGGACCGGACCCAUGGAUCAGAGAUUAUUAAUGAUUUACAAGGUAGAAUAUCUGGCCUAGAAGAAGAUUUAAAGAAUGGCAAAAUCUUAUUAGCAAAAGUAGAGGUGGAGAAGAGACAACUACAGGAGAGAUUUACUGAUUUGGAAAAGAUCAAGCAAUCUCAACAAGGAUCUCACAACAGAGUGGAGGUGUGGGAGAUGGGUACAGUGGGGAGCGAACAGGAGAAGAACAACAUGGAAAUAGAUAUGACAUACCAACUCAAAGUUAUACAGCAGAGCUUAGAACAGGAAGAAGCGGAACAUAAGGCUACAAAAGCACGGCUGGCAGAUAAAAAUAAGAUUUAUGAAUCCAUUGAAGAGGCUAAGUCAGAAGCCAUGAAAGAAAUGGAGAAAAAGCUCUUGGAGGAAAGAACUUUAAAACAGAAAGUGGAGAACUUGUUGCUGGAGGCUGAGAAAAGAUGUUCUAUAUUAGACUGUGACCUCAAACAGUCACAGCAGAAAAUAAAUGAACUCCUCAAACAAAAAGAUGUGCUAAAUGAGGAUGUUAGAAACUUGACAUUAAAAAUAGAGCAGGAAACUCAGAAGCGCUGCCUUACACAAAAUGACUUGAAGAUGCAAACACAGCAAGUUAACACACUAAAAAUGUCAGAAAAGCAGUUAAAACAAGAAAAUAAUCAUCUCAUGGAAAUGAAAAUGAGUUUGGAAAAACAGAAUGCUGAACUUCGAAAAGAACGCCAAGAUGCAGAUGGGCAAAUGAAAGAGCUCCAAGACCAGCUUGAAGCAGAGCAGUAUUUCUCAACCCUCUAUAAAACACAGGUUAGGGAACUUAAAGAAGAAUGUGAAGAAAAGACCAAACUUUGUAAAGAAUUACAGCAGAAGAAACAGGAAUUACAGGAUGAAAGGGAUUCCUUGGCUGCUCAGCUGGAGAUCACCUUGACCAAAGCAGAUUCUGAACAGCUGGCUCGCUCAAUUGCUGAAGAGCAGUAUUCUGAUUUGGAAAAAGAGAAAAUCAUGAAAGAGCUGGAGAUCAAGGAGAUGAUGGCUAGACACAAACAGGAGCUCACUGAAAAAGAUGCUACAAUUGCAUCUCUUGAAGAAACUAAUAGGACACUAACUAGUGAUGUUGCCAAUCUUGCAAAUGAGAAAGAAGAGUUAAAUAACAAAUUGAAAGAUGCCCAAGAGCAACUGUCAAGGUUGAAGGAUGAAGAAAUAAGUGCAGCAGCUAUUAAAGCACAAUUUGAGAAGCAGCUAUUAACAGAGAGAACACUCAAAACUCAAGCUGUGAAUAAGUUGGCCGAGAUCAUGAAUCGGAAAGAACCUGUCAAACGUGGUAGUGACACAGAUGUGCGGAGAAAAGAGAAGGAGAAUAGAAAGCUACAUAUGGAGCUUAAAUCUGAACGUGAGAAACUGACGCAGCAGAUGAUCAAGUAUCAGAAAGAACUGAAUGAAAUGCAGGCUCAAAUAGCUGAAGAGAGCCAGAUUCGAAUUGAACUGCAGAUGACACUGGACAGUAAAGACAGUGACAUUGAGCAGCUGCGGUCCCAGCUCCAAGCCUUGCAUAUUGGUCUGGAUAGUUCCAGUAUAGGCAGUGGACCAGGGGAUGCUGAAGCAGAUGAUGGGUUCCCAGUUCAUAUCACUCAGUCACACACUAUGGAAUCCAUGUCAUUCACCUACCAACGUUCCUCUACUUCUCUCAAUAUUGCCACUAAGCCUUCCAGUUCUCAUAUGCUUCUUGACUCUGAUUCUGACUCAGAAGAAGAAUCUGUGCAUUAUUUACCUAUUUCAUCGGAAUCUAAUGGUACAGAAUCAAGACUAGAAGGAUGGCUUUCAUUGCCUGUGCGAAACAACACUAAGAAAUUCGGAUGGGUUAAAAAGUAUGUGAUUGUGAGUAGUAAGAAGAUCCUUUUCUAUGACAGUGAACAAGAUAAAGAACAAUCUAAUCCUUACAUGGUUUUAGAUAUAGACAAAUUAUUUCAUGUACGACCAGUUACACAGACAGAUGUAUAUAGAGCAGAUGCUAAAGAAAUCCCAAGGAUAUUCCAGAUUUUGUAUGCCAAUGAAGGAGAAAGUAAGAAGGAACAAGAAUUUCCAGUGGAGCCAGUGGGAGAAAAGUCAAAUUACAUUUGCCACAAAGGACAUGAAUUUAUUCCCACUCUCUAUCAUUUCCCAACCAACUGUGAGGCAUGUAUGAAGCCAUUAUGGCAUAUGUUUAAACCUCCUCCUGCUUUAGAGUGCCGUCGCUGCCAUAUUAAAUGUCAUAAAGAUCACAUGGAUAAAAAGGAGGAAAUUAUAGCACCUUGCAAAGUGUAUUACGAUAUUUCAUCGGCAAAGAACCUAUUGUUAUUAGCAAAUUCUACAGAAGAGCAGCAAAAGUGGGUUAGUCGGCUAGUGAAAAAAAUACCUAAGAAGCCUCCAGCUCCAGACCCUUUUGCACGGUCCUCUCCUAGAACUUCAAUGAAGAUACAACAAAACCAGUCUAUUAGACGGCCAAGUCGACAGCUUGCCCCGAACAAACCAAGUUCUGGGCCUGCCCUUCGAAUCAUUCUUCAUUGAUUUUUUUAAUACAUUUUGCAUAGCAACAAUUGCUUGAUUUGGCAUUUAAAGACUGGGAUUGGUCAUUUGAUGAUAUUGAUGGUGGUGAUGAUGAUGGCGAUGUUUUUGAUUUCUGAAGAAGUAAAUGGGCUAACUGCCUUCUGUGAAUGCAGUCAUUAUUCAAGGUGAUCAUAUUCUUCCAGUUGAAACAAGACUGAAAUAUGAUGGCCCCAAAGUUAUUAAAAAGCUAUAUUUUCCUGAGAGACUGAUACACACACACACACACAUAUAUAUAUAUGUGUGUGUGUGUGUGUAUAUAUAUAUAUAUAUAUAUAUAUAUUCCCUGUAUUCCUGCAAUAUAAAUUAUAAAUCUUGGAUAGAUUUGUUGGGCUCCUUUGGAGCAGCAAGUUGAACCAACAGUGAUUGGUUAGUAGAGUAAGAAUAUCAUGUGCAACUCUUCCCAACUUGCUCCAUGAAGCUCUCUUGGCAGUCACUCACACUACACGGACUGAGAAGAGUUAAAGUUGAAGAAAUCAUCCUUGCAGCUUCAACAGAGAGAUUUCACCAGCAAACCUGCCAGAAGAAUCUGGGAAUGGAUUCCACUACACUGAUAGAGACUGCAUCUUCAAGAAGUGACCAUUAUACUGUGUGUGUGUGCGUGCGUGUGUGGAUAUGUAUAUCCUCACACACAUGCACACAUGCACACAUAUGUAUAGUACUGUAAUACUGCAAGAGGGUUUUUUUUUAACUUCCCACUUUAUUUUUUUAUAAACAUUAAUCAGAUAUCAUUACUUACUGCAGUUGCAACUAUGCACUUGUAUAAAGCCAUAAUGUUGGAGUUUAUAUCACUCAUCUGUGUGUACCUGAUGGAAGCUGCAUGUUCAUAUUUAAGCAAUUACUAUAACAAGAAGUUUGAAGUUAAUUAUAUCAGUUUCCUAAUGCUUCAUAGUAGGCAACUCUACCCGUUUUGAAUGCCUUAAUUUAAUUUUUUUUCCAAAAUCUCAACCCUUUUCUGUAUUUAAAAAAAGAACAAGUGUUUACCAGCUCUUAGGAUGCAAAUUUGCUUUGCAGAAGAAAAAUAGUGCACUAUUUUUACACGUAAUAGUUAUCAAUGUCAGCCUAUUUUGAUUGUAUAACAAUUUUUUUUUAAGUAUUGGUGAUAGAAACAGUAAUAGAUAGUAUUGGAACUAAUAUAUCUUUUAUGUAUAUCUAUUAUUCAUCCAGCCUUUUUUACAGACCUCAGUAUUAGUGUGUGACUAUGAAACAUUUUCUUUGCUUUUAAUUUACUGGCUACCCUAGGUGUGUUUUUAUUUCUGAUAAAGACAUUUGUGACUAUUUUUACAUUUUCACAUUCAAGAUUCAAAAAAUUAUCUCGAAUUUAAAAAAAUGAAGACAUACUGUAGAUAUAUUUUAAAUAUUUAAAUGUGAUCCAUUAAACACACAGCUGUGUAUGGCAAUAUUUCAGUACUGGGUUAAGAAAACUGGUGACUGGGAAGAAGUGGCCUUAGAGGCACUUAACUUUAUUUUUAUUUUUUUAAAUGCUGUUAAAGUUACAGUUUAUGCAGGACUAUUCCUGCUAUAUUUCUCAUUCCAGAAAAGUAUAUGUUUUAUACUGCUACAGUAUGCAUCGGUGAUAAGAAUCAAGUAAAAAAUGAUGUAGUGUUUUAUCAGUCUCUCUUUAUACACAUUCAACUACAGAGUUUGGUGUGAUAAUGAAAUAUAUCAUCUAAUAUUUCAAUGAAGGAAGUAGACAUUUUUCAUUGAUUCCUUCUGGGGUCAGUGCAGAAGUGUUUAAAGAGUUGGAUCCCCAAUUAUAGAUACUGUUGUGGAAAUUGAAGAGUGGCCUUUGGCUACGGAUGUACUGAAACUGAAUCUUGUUAUUACAUUUUCCAGUCUGCACUCUUUCAUGCUGUCUGUGCUGAAACUAGAUAUGCAUGCCAUUUCCCUUGCAGGUAUGUUCUGGUUUUGGGGGCACAGCUUUUUUUUUUUUUAAGUGAAAUUAAAAAGUGAAAAAUAUAUAAAAUUUAUAUAGAAUAAAUAUUUCCAUUCAUUAGACUUGUUAAAAGGAGACUGAAUUAAUAUUUUAUAUAAAGAUUUUGUUACACUAUGGGAGGUUCUAUCAUAUUAUUCUGAAUUGGAGAGUAUAUAUAUAUAUAUUUUUAAUAAACUUUAUUAAGGUGAAAUAAUUUGAAGUUUACACAUGAGUAAUUGAAAUAUUUGAGUAAACAUGGCAAAAGUUUAAAUUCUGAAUGCUGUAUAUAUUAGGGAAUAUGGAGAAUGAUGGUGUGAUGCAACUAUACAGGGAAAAUUAAUGUGAAGUUUUUUUGGGGGAAAAAAUUACUCUAAGGGGCAAAAAAAAAAUCUCUCCAUGGAGAUUCUUCACAUUAUAUGGUUUGAAAUAAGGAUUUAUAAGGUUGUUUGUCCAACUAAUGGAAAUGCGCUUAAUAAAAAAUUCUGACCUUGGGUAAGAAUUUGCUUUAUACUCUGUUGCUGGUUUCAUAUACGUACACGAGUGCAUGCACCAUCCAAAUGCUCUCUUCCCACCGCUCACUAAAGAUGACGUUGACUUGGUUGAAAAACCUAAUUUUGUGCCAGCUUCUCUUUUUCUUGAGGCUCCAAAGCUUCCAAGAUAAAUGUAAGACCAAAAGUUGCUAAUGUCCUCACACCUGAUUUCUCCUAGAGCCAUAAAUACCUCCUUUUGAGAACUAAGUAGUGAUACUGGGAUUUUCUCAGUUGGAUUUUUUACUUUUGUGGGAAUAAUGAGAGUAGAGGGAAAACCGGUGCCAGGAUUACUGUUAAGAAUUAAUGUACAGUGCAUUUUUGAAAAGUAUUAAUUAAAAAAAUUUAUCUAGAAGCAAGAUUUUUUAAAAAAAUCUAUCUGAAAGUUUAAAAUGCUCUCACUAAAGGAUAAGUAUACCAAUAAAUCUAAAGUAAAGGUUAGUGUUUUUAGAACUAACCGACGCUAGAGUUACACCAUUCUGUUGCCGACGGGUCUCCUUUAUACCAGUUUAUCUGUAGAUCCUCAAGAAGAAACUCUAGGUUGCCAAAUGACAAUUUCAGAAGUUAUGCUGCUGCUGUUAAUCUAUUCUUCCAGGAUUCGGGUGGUAAAUAGAGAAACUUAGACACUAUAUUACCUUAUUGAAACAUGCUUUAAAUAACAUGUUUCUAAAAUCUGACGUGGGCAAGUCACUUCGGAGUUUCUCAGCCUGUGUCGUCACUGCUACUGACUCAGCUCUCCUCCCGUGGAGUAAGACUUCAGUUUCCCUGUGUUGUGAAGAUACCAUAGUUGGUUUGUAAAGCACUUUGAAGAUAAGCACUGUAUGACAGUGCUGAAUAUUAUGCUUGGGGGGCCUCUCCGUGAUUCCCUUCCCCAUAAUAAUGAAUUUUGUUUGGAACUGUAAUAACUUAUGAACUGCAUGGUUUAGAUAAUCAUAAAUAUUUGAUCAGCUGUCCCCUUGAACGAAAAUCAUACCCCCCUGAUUUUUUAAAAAUUUUGUUGCAUCUUUGUAGUAAUGUAAUUGUAUUUUAUGCCUGCUUUUUAUAUUAAAAAUAAAUAAAAGAAAUUGAGACAAG
Non-coding RNA from Vicugna pacos (alpaca), 8000 nucleotides. Lineage: Eukaryota; Metazoa; Chordata; Mammalia; Artiodactyla; Camelidae. The record is from RefSeq and is a predicted model, not a curated record.